Molecule: ribosomal RNA, 371 nt
Filed under: uncultured bacterium
Lineage: Bacteria
Description: bacterial SSU rRNA
Rfam family: Bacterial small subunit ribosomal RNA
Source: RNAcentral
ACGGAGGUGGCAAGCGUUACUCGGAAUUAUUGGGUGUAAAGGGCAAGUAGGUGGCUUGGUAAGUGAGAGGUGAAAUACUCCGGAUCAAUCGGAGAACUGCCUUUCAUACUGCCUUGCUUGAGUAUGACAGGGGGAAGUGGAAUUCCAGGUGUAAGGGUGAAAUCUGUAGAUAUCUGGAAGAACACCAGCGGCGAAGGCGACUUCCUGGGUCAUUACUGACACUGAAUUGCGAAAGCUAGGGGAGCAAACAGAAUUAGAUACUCUGGUAGUCCUAGCCGUAAACGAUGAGCACUAGAUGUUGGUCCCGUCAGGGAUCAGUGUCGCAGCUAACGCAUUAAGUGCUCCACCUGAGGACUACGGUCGCAAGGCUA